RNAcentral lists this transfer RNA (76 nucleotides) under Burkholderiaceae bacterium. RNAcentral's name for it is "tRNA-Phe". It matches the Rfam family "tRNA". From Rfam's summary of the family: Transfer RNA (tRNA) molecules are approximately 80 nucleotides in length. Their secondary structure includes four short double-helical elements and three loops (D, anti-codon, and T loops). Lineage: Bacteria; Pseudomonadati; Pseudomonadota; Betaproteobacteria; Burkholderiales; Burkholderiaceae. The record is from RNAcentral.
GGCCCGGUAGCUCAGUCGGUAGAGCAGAGGACUGAAAAUCCUUGUGUCGGUGGUUCGAUUCCACCCCAGGCCACCA